Megalops cyprinoides (Indo-Pacific tarpon) is the source of this 131-nucleotide small nucleolar RNA. The record is from RefSeq and is a predicted model, not a curated record. Lineage: Eukaryota; Metazoa; Chordata; Actinopteri; Elopiformes; Megalopidae.
CUGCACUGUAAAGUGACUGGCUGGCCUUUUCCAUUGGCUUUCCAAUCUCAUUCCGGUGCUAGAUAAACCUCAGUUUGCAGAAGGGCUGGGCUAGAUAACUGGCUCCUCCCUUUCGAAGGCUGAGAACAAGC